UACUUAGUGGCGGACGGGUGAGUAAUGCUUAGGAAUCUGCCUAGUAGUGGGGGAUAACUUGGGGAAACCCAAGCUAAUACCGCAUACGACCUACGGGUGAAAGGGGGCUUUUAGCUCUCGCUAUUAGAUGAGCCUAAGUCGGAUUAGCUGGUUGGUGGGGUAAAGGCCUACCAAGGCGACGAUCUGUAGCUGGUCUGAGAGGAUGAUCAGCCACACUGGGACUGAGACACGGCCCAG
Molecule: ribosomal RNA, 237 nt
Filed under: uncultured Pseudomonadales bacterium
Lineage: Bacteria; Pseudomonadati; Pseudomonadota; Gammaproteobacteria; Pseudomonadales
Description: partial 16S ribosomal RNA
Rfam family: Bacterial small subunit ribosomal RNA
Source: RNAcentral